This 413-nucleotide ribosomal RNA is filed under the name uncultured bacterium. Its description in RNAcentral is "bacterial SSU rRNA". It matches the Rfam family "Bacterial small subunit ribosomal RNA", at positions 505 to 916 of the family's 1533-position model. The record is from RNAcentral.
GUGGCAGUCGCCACGGUAAUACGGAGAGUGCAAGCGUUGUUCGGAAUUACUGGGCGUAAAGGGCGCGUAGGCGGUCGCGCAAGUCGGGUGUGAAAGCCCCGGGCUCAACCUGGGAAUUGCAUUCGAUACUGCGUAACUAGAGUCUGGUAGAGGGAAGCGGAAUUCCGCAUGUAGCGGUGAAAUGCGUAGAUAUGCGGAGGAACACCAGUGGCGAAGGCGGCUUCCUGGACCAAGACUGACGCUGAGGCGCGAAAGCGUGGGGAGCAAACAGGAUUAGAUACCCUGGUAGUCCACGCCCUAAACGAUGAGGACUAGACGUUGGGGGGAUAAAACCCUUUAGUGUCGCAGCUAACGCGUGAAGUCCUCCGCCUGGGGAGUACGGCCGCAAGGUUGAAACUUAAAUGAAUUGGCGG